RNAcentral lists this transfer RNA (85 nucleotides) under Acholeplasma sp. Its description in RNAcentral is "tRNA-Leu". It matches the Rfam family "tRNA". From Rfam's summary of the family: Transfer RNA (tRNA) molecules are approximately 80 nucleotides in length. Their secondary structure includes four short double-helical elements and three loops (D, anti-codon, and T loops). Lineage: Bacteria; Bacillati; Mycoplasmatota; Mollicutes; Acholeplasmatales; Acholeplasmataceae. RNAcentral also lists the same sequence under 2 other names. The record is from RNAcentral.
GCGGAGGUGGCGGAAUUGGUAGACGCGUAUGGUUGAGGGCCAUAUGACAGAUGUCGUGAGGGUUCGAGUCCCUUUCUCUGCACCA